AGUGAACGCUGGCGGUAGGCCUAACACAUGCAAGUCGAACGGCAGCACAGUAAGAGCUUGCUCUUACGGGUGGCGAGUGGCGGGCGGAUGAGGAAUACAUCGGAAUCUACUUUUUCGUGGGGGAUAACGUAGGGAAACUUACGCUAAUACCGCAUACGACCUACGGGUGAAAGCAGGGGAUCUUCGGACCUUGCGCGAUUGAAUGGGCCGAUGUCGGAUUAGCUAGUUGGCGGGGUAAAGGCCCACCAAGGCGACGAUCCGUAGCUGGUCUGAGAGGAUGAUCAGCCACACUGGAACUGAGACACGGUCCAGACUCCUACGGGAGGCAGCAGUGGGGAAUAUUGGACAAUGGGCGCAAGCCUGAUCCAGCCAUACCGCGUGGGUGAAGAAGGCCUUCGGGUUGUAAAGCCCUUUUGUUGGGAAAGAAAAGCAGCAGGUUAAUACCCCGCUGUUCUGACGGUACCCAAAGAAUAAGCACCGGCUAACUUCGUG
This 492-nucleotide ribosomal RNA is filed under the name uncultured bacterium. Its description in RNAcentral is "partial 16S ribosomal RNA". It matches the Rfam family "Bacterial small subunit ribosomal RNA", at positions 29 to 507 of the family's 1533-position model. The record is from RNAcentral.